AGCUCAGGUCCCUCGCACCUCCCCAGGGCUCUGGCAGCAGACGGGCGGCAGCUGGCAGUGGGUCCCUUCUCUGGCAGGAAGCAGUACCAUCAAGAAAACAUGGAUGAUAUCACUGGGCUGAGAGCAAAGGAAGGCGUUUUUAAGAUUAAUCAAGCUGGACUCCUCCGAUCAACACAAGUAAAAGAAAACGGCCGUGUAAAUAAGAUCAAAAUCGUUCUUUCAACAAGCAUGAAAUAAAAGCUCAGAGUGACCGGAGAGCAGUUGAAUCGACGUCCACGGAAAUCAGCUUUCUCUUUGUGGAAAUGUGAGAUCAUGGUGCAUCAUGCUAUUUGCAGGACCUUGGAGCUAAGCAAUUGUGAAGUCACCUAUACAUGGGUGCCAUCUGGGCCGGCGGGACUCUGCUGUUUGCUCGGCCUCACACACGGCCUCCCCUAUGCUUCGGGCUCCAUGAAGUCGAUUCUGGAUCCAUCACCUGAGCCUCAUCUCCUGGAAGAUAUCCAUAGCAACACCCUCCUCGCUGCGUCCGGCUAACGUCAGUCAGUGCUAACUGCUGAUAACAGGAGUCAAUAAUGCUUGGUAGAGAUUUCCGGAAGACAUGGUUCUGGGAGGACCCGUGGGCUGAAUUGAUUACUCAAAAGUACACUCCUUUCAAUCUU
Peromyscus leucopus (white-footed mouse) is the source of this 656-nucleotide long non-coding RNA. RefSeq lists it as uncharacterized. The record is from RefSeq and is a predicted model, not a curated record. The transcript is spliced from 4 exons. NCBI's taxonomy places the organism in Eukaryota, Metazoa, Chordata, Mammalia, Rodentia, Cricetidae.